RNAcentral lists this ribosomal RNA (572 nucleotides) under Sceloporus gadsdeni (Lagoon spiny lizard). RNAcentral describes it as "partial 12S small subunit ribosomal RNA". It matches the Rfam family "Bacterial small subunit ribosomal RNA", at positions 19 to 971 of the family's 1533-position model. Lineage: Eukaryota; Metazoa; Chordata; Lepidosauria; Squamata; Phrynosomatidae. The record is from RNAcentral.
UAAACUUACUGCUACUUUUAAUCAAAUUUACACAUGCAAGCAUCCACACACCAGUGAAAUACGCCCUAACACAGUAUAAAUGGAGCAGGUAUCAGGCACAACCGCCAGCCAAAAACACCAAGCUUUGCCACACCCACACGGGCCCUCAGCAGUGAUAAACAUUAAGCAAUAAGCGAACACACCAAACUAAAGCUUGACUUAGUUAUGAUUAACAGGGCCGGUAAACCUCGUGCCAGCCACCGCGGUUACACGGCGGGCCCAAAGCAGCAGACUCUCGGCGUAAAUAGUGGCCAGAAUAAUUACCCCCACAUUAAAAACUAAACCAUACCCUAACCGUAAAACACAGGCUAAAUGAAAUCAAGCACUUUUAAUAACAGGUAAUUUGACCCACGAAAACUAAGAAACAAACUAGGAUUAGAUACCCUACUAUGCUUAGUCGUUAAUAUGAUAUUAUAGUACUAAAAUAUCCGCCAGAAAACUACGAGCGAAAAGCUUAAAACUCAAAGGACUUGGCGGUGCUCCAUACCGACUUAGAGGAGCCUGUCCUAUAAUCGAUACCCCACGCUAAACCC